UACAGUGGACAGGCAGUACUUGUUUUCUGUUCCUUUUAUGCACAUUCUAAGUUUGGUCAGAGCAGGUAACCAUGCAGGAAACCUUUUAUUCCACAAGAGGAAAGGCAUCCACUGCUUCAGAGAUUAUGGAUGCAAAAAUCUAAAUUGACGUAAUCAAUUCAAAUCUUAAAGGAGCGCUGUCAUGCUUUUUUCAGUUGAGCUUAUUUGGAUUAAAUGCUUAAAGUAUGUGUGUUGGCAUUUAAAAAAUCACCAUCAGUAUAGCCAUUUCCUAAAUAUGGGGCAAAACUUCUCAAGUCACUGGACAUGCUUGGCUGGAAUCGCAAGCCUGUGUUUUCCAGAAGGCAAUGGGCGCUCAAACUCCACCCUCGAACGCAUCGACUGGUUUACGGAUGGCCAACCAUCCAGGCAAUCACAUGACACUCCCAGAAAAUACGCUUUAUUGGACAGUAUAUAGUAUAGAGAGACAGGAAGAAUGGGAGCGAGAGAGAGGGGAAGACAUGCGACAAAUGUAGGACGGUCGGAUUCGAACGGCCGACGUCGCGGCUCGCAAUGAGCAUGCGGUCAGUGCUCUACAGGCUGCGCCAGGGAUACACCCCAGACUUCGGUCUUGACUCUUGCACCGUCAUCGACCCUGAGCCUGCCUACCGUCCAAAUGUACUUCUGCCCCGCUGACAGCUUUCCUGGCUACCGGACUUUUUGCAUGGUGUACCGAUUACGAGACUGCCUUCUCCCUCGGUACUGUACUUUGGUUUUGGCUGGAUUUUACGUGUAUGAACAUUGCUUGUUUUUUGACUACGCUCACUGGA
Conger conger (European conger) is the source of this 806-nucleotide long non-coding RNA. RefSeq lists it as uncharacterized. The transcript has 3 exons. Lineage: Eukaryota; Metazoa; Chordata; Actinopteri; Anguilliformes; Congridae. The record is from RefSeq and is a predicted model, not a curated record.